Molecule: non-coding RNA, 617 nt
Filed under: Pongo abelii (Sumatran orangutan)
Lineage: Eukaryota; Metazoa; Chordata; Mammalia; Primates; Hominidae
Source: RNAcentral
GCAGAUUGGAUAUUAAGUAUAAAUCAGCUCUCUGUGUAUGUCCCUGUUUGGUGGUAUAACUGACAACAGAUAGGGUUCCUGAUGGGAUUGGGUUCCACCAAUCAGAGCCACUUGCAUGAGACCUCAACUGAGAGCCAGGUGUUUGAAGAGGAGGGGCUCACUCUAAAUCUUGAAGAUGUUCAGCCUCGAAAAAGUAGAAGUCAUUGUGACCAAAGAUGAUGCCACCACACCUUUGAAAAAGAAAGGUGAUGAGCCUCAAAAGGAAAAACACAUUCAAGAAAGGUCAAUGCUAAUGAGUAUGAAUGAACACAUAGCAAAAACUUCAGAUACAACAGCCAUGCCAAGGGCUGGUGGGACAGGUGAGGCUGAGUGAAUAAAAAGAAGUAGCCCCAGAGACACUCAAGGUGGUUCCAGCUGCUUUGAAGGAGGUUUCUUUCUAAGAGGUGGCUGGGCUUGGUUUCAGUGUAUUCCAAUUUGGGACUCAUGAAUUGCAACUGAUAAAGAUCAAAAAACUGAUACAGAAAUUGUUUUAUAAAACAUUCAAAAUGCCUGCAGCGACCUUGACAAGAGCAGACAUUAGGAGGCUCCCUGACAGCUGAGAACACUGUGUGAUGCCC